Molecule: transfer RNA, 77 nt
Filed under: Nitrososphaerota archaeon
Lineage: Archaea; Thermoproteati; Nitrososphaerota
Also listed under: 2 other names
Description: Thaumarchaeota archaeon tRNA-Ala
Rfam family: tRNA
About the family: Transfer RNA (tRNA) molecules are approximately 80 nucleotides in length. Their secondary structure includes four short double-helical elements and three loops (D, anti-codon, and T loops).
Source: RNAcentral
GGGCUGAUAGUAUAGACUGGUAGUAUACCUGCCUUGCACGCAGGGGGUCGGGGGUUCAAAUCCCCCUCAGUCCACCA